RNAcentral lists this ribosomal RNA (460 nucleotides) under uncultured bacterium. RNAcentral's name for it is "partial 16S ribosomal RNA". It matches the Rfam family "Bacterial small subunit ribosomal RNA", at positions 338 to 795 of the family's 1533-position model. The record is from RNAcentral.
CCUACGGGUGGCAGCAGUGAGGAAUAUUGGUCAAUGGACGCAAGUCUGAACCAGCCAUGCCGCGUGCAGGAAGACGGCUCUAUGAGUUGUAAACUGCUUUUGUACGAGGGUAAACGCAGAUACGCGUAUCUGUCUGAAAGUAUCGUACGAAUAAGGAUCGGCUAACUCCGUUCCAGCAGCCGCGGUAAUACGGAGGAUUCAAGCGUUAUCCGGAUUUAUUGGGUUUAAAGGGUGCGUAGGCGGUCGGAUAAGUUAGAGGUGAAAUCCCGAGGCUCAACUUCGGAAUUGCCUCUGAUACUGUUCGGCUAGAGAGUAGGUGCGGUAGGCAGAAUGUAUGGUGUAGCGGUGAAAUGCUUAGAGAUCAUACAGAACACCGAUUGCGAAGGCAGCUUACUAAGCUACUUCUGACGUUGAGGCACGAAAGCGUGGGGAGUAAACAGGAUUAGAUACCCGGGUAGUC